This 484-nucleotide ribosomal RNA is filed under the name uncultured bacterium. RNAcentral's name for it is "partial 16S ribosomal RNA". It matches the Rfam family "Bacterial small subunit ribosomal RNA", at positions 30 to 507 of the family's 1533-position model. The record is from RNAcentral.
AUUGAACGCUGGCGGCAGGCCUAACACAUGCAAGUCGAGCGGAUGAAGGGAGCUUGCUCCUGGCUUCAGCGGCGGACGGGUGAGUAAUGCCUAGGAAUCUGCCUGGUCGUGGGGGAUAACGUCCGGAAACGGGCGCUAAUACCGCAUACGUCCUGAGGGAGAAAGUGGGGGAUCUUCGGACCUCACGCUAUCAGAUGAGCCUAGGUCGGAUUAGCUAGUUGGUGGGGUAAAGGCCUACCAAGGCGACGAUCCGUAACUGGUCUGAGAGGAUGAUCAGUCACACUGGAACUGAGACACGGUCCAGACUCCUACGGGAGGCAGCAGUGGGGAAUAUUGGACAAAGGGCGAAAGCCUGAUCCAGCCAUGCCGCGUGUGUGAAGAAGGUCUUCGGAUUGUAAAGCACUUUAAGUUGGGAGGAAGGGCAGUAAGUUAAUACCUUGCUGUUUUGACGGUACCAACAGAAUAAGCACCGGCUAACUUCGUG